AGUUGGCUUAGGGAUACGUUCGUUGGGUAGGGGAGCGUUCUGUAAGCCUGUGAAGGUGUGUCGUGAGGCAUGCUGGAGGUAUCAGAAGUGCGAAUGCUGACAUAAGUAACGAUAAAGCGGGUGAAAAGCCCGCUCGCCGGAAGACCAAGGGUUCCUGUCCAACGUUAAUCGGGGCAGGGUGAGUCGACCCCUAAGGCGAGGCCGAAAGGCGUAGUCGAUGGGAAACGGGUUAAUAUUCCCGUACUUGGUGUUACUGCGAAGGGGGGACGGAGAAGGCUAUGUUGGCCGGGCGACGGUUGUCCCGGUUUAAGCGUGUAGGUGUGUGUUCCAGGUAAAUCCGGUUCACUUUAACACUGAGGCGUGACGACGAGGCACUACGGUGCUGAAGCAACAAAUGCCCUGCUUCCAGGAAAAGCCUCUAAGCAUCAGGUAACACGAAAUCGUACCCCAAACCGACACAGGUGGUCAGGUAGAGAAUACCAAGGCGCUUGAGAGAACUCGGGUGAAGGAACUAGGCAAAAUGGUGCCGUAACUUCGGGAGAAGGCACGCUGACACGUAGGUGAAGUGAUUUACUCAUGGAGCUGAAGUCAGUCGAAGAUACCAGCUGGCUGCAACUGUUUAUUAAAAACACAGCACUGUGCAAACACGAAAGUGGACGUAUACGGUGUGACGCCUGCCCGGUGCCGGAAGGUUAAUUGAUGGGGUCAGCGUAAGCGAAGCUCCUGAUCGAAGCCCCGGUAAACGGCGGCCGUAACUAUAACGGUCCUAAGGUAGCGAAAUUCCUUGUCGGGUAAGUUCCGACCUGCACGAAUGGCGUAAUGAUGGCCAGGCUGUCUCCACCCGAGACUCAGUGAAAUUGAACUCGCUGUGAAGAUGCAGUGUACCCGCGGCAAGACGGAAAGACCCCGUGAACCUUUACUAUAGCUUGACACUGAACAUUGAGCCUUGAUGUGUAGGAUAGGUGGGAGGCUUUGAAGUGUGGACGCCAGUCUGCAUGGAGCCGACCUUGAAAUACCACCCUUUAAUGUUUGAUGUUCUAACGUGGACCCGUAAUCCGGGUUGCGGACAGUGUCUGGUGGGUAGUUUGACUGGGGCGGUCUCCUCCUAAAGAGUAACGGAGGAGCACGAAGGUUGGCUAAUCCUGGUCGGACAUCAGGAGGUUAGUGCAAUGGCAUAAGCCAGCUUGACUGCGAGCGUGACGGCGCGAGCAGGUGCGAAAGCAGGUCAUAGUGAUCCGGUGGUUCUGAAUGGAAGGGCCAUCGCUCAACGGAUAAAAGGUACUCCGGGGAUAACAGGCUGAUACCGCCCAAGAGUUCAUAUCGACGGCGGUGUUUGGCACCUCGAUGUCGGCUCAUCACAUCCUGGGGCUGAAGUAGGUCCCAAGGGUAUGGCUGUUCGCCAUUUAAAGUGGUACGCGAGCUGGGUUUAGAACGUCGUGAGACAGUUCGGUCCCUAUCUGCCGUGGGCGCUGGAGAACUGAGGGGGGCUGCUCCUAGUACGAGAGGACCGGAGUGGACGCAUCACUGGUGUUCGGGUUGUCAUGCCAAUGGCACUGCCCGGUAGCUAAAUGCGGAAGAGAUAAGUGCUGAAAGCAUCUAAGCACGAAACUUGCCCCGA
This 1618-nucleotide ribosomal RNA is filed under the name Salmonella enterica. Its description in RNAcentral is "partial 23S ribosomal RNA". It matches the Rfam family "Bacterial large subunit ribosomal RNA", at positions 1200 to 2802 of the family's 2925-position model. The record is from RNAcentral. RNAcentral also lists the same sequence under 1 other name. Lineage: Bacteria; Pseudomonadati; Pseudomonadota; Gammaproteobacteria; Enterobacterales; Enterobacteriaceae.